This 253-nucleotide ribosomal RNA is filed under the name uncultured bacterium. RNAcentral's name for it is "partial 16S ribosomal RNA". It matches the Rfam family "Bacterial small subunit ribosomal RNA", at positions 524 to 776 of the family's 1533-position model. The record is from RNAcentral.
UACGUAGGGGGCAAGCGUUGUCCGGAAUCAUUGGGCGUAAAGAGCGUGUAGGCGGCCCGAUAAGUCCGCUGUGAAAGUCCAGGGCUCAACCCUGGAAUGCCGGUGGAUACUGUCGGGCUCGAAUCCGGAAGAGGUGAGUGGAAUUCCUGGUGUAGCGGUGAAAUGCGCAGAUAUCAGGAGGAACACCGAUUGCGAAGGCAGCUCGCUGGGACGUUACUGACGCUGAGACGCGAAAGCGUGGGGAGCAAACAGG